CAUCAUUCAAUAUAUAACAUACCAGUUAAAUAAAAUGAUUCAAACUACAAUUAAAUUAAUCAUUUACAAAUUAAACUAAUAAAAUAUAAUUAAUUCUGAAUCGGAUAAUCUGACGCGAUACAGUGAAAACUAAUAUCUCAUUAAACGGGACUAGAACAAGAAUAUUUUUUCAUAAUUCAAAAUAUCGAAUAUAUGACUUGAUCUUUAUCAAUUGAACAUGAUAUGCUACAUUAAUCACUCUUAAUAAAUACGAGUAUCAAAAUAUUUAAAAAAGUGAGUUUACACAAACCUAAAAAAGUAACUACACGACUAAUUGAACUAAAUAUUUCAUGGUUUUACGAGCUUCAUGAUGCCUAACUCACAUCUACUCUAUUUUUUCUAUUUGAAAUUCCAGAAAAUCAUUUGUUUGGGAUCUGGUUUAUAAGGAUUACAUGAAAAAUCAUUAAAAGUCUUAACCGACAAGCUAAAAAACUAAUUAUAGAAAAUUAAAAUUUUAUAACGAGAUAAUGUUAUAUCAUACUGUAUCAAAGUAAUAAUCAUCUAAUAUUUUUAAAUUAACAAUAUAAAUAUAAUACGUUGAAAUACUAUAUAAUUGAUAUGAAAAAUAAAAGGAUAAGACACAUCAAAGGUGUCAGAAAUUUUUGGGAUGCAAUUAUACGGUUAGUAGUUCAAUUGAUGCUUUUAUAAUAAAAUAAGGUAUGUGUCUUUUUACAUACAACUUAUGUUUCAAUUUCUACUUAUGCAAAUUGCAAAAGGGUUAAUUAUCAAGUUGGUCACUGAAAUGGGCUUAAUAUAUCAAGUUGGUCACUGAACUCAAAACGGUAUCAAGAUGGUCACUGAAGUGGCCAUAAAUAUCAAACAAGUAUCUGAUUGAUGCUUUUAUAAUAAAAUAAGGUAUGUGUCUUUUUACAUACAACUUAUGUUUCAAUUUCUACUUAUGCAAAUUGCAAAAGGGUUAAUUAUCAAGUUGGUCACUGAAAUGGGCUUAAUAUAUCAAGUUGGUCACUGAACUCAAAACGGUAUCAAGAUGGUCACUGAAGUGGCCAUAAAUAUCAAACAAGUAUCUGGAAAUAUAAGUUUAAGCAGUAAAAAUAUUAUUUAUAAAAUUUUACACAUUAUUUUUGAAUGUUACAAAAACCAAGUAAAAGGUUAUGCCUUCUAAUAUUUAUGAUAAUAUAUUUAGAUUUUAUCAAGUUUAUUUAUUAUUUAUUUUUAAUUAAUACAAAAAAAAUAAGUAUCUGGAAAUAUAAGUUUAAUCAGUAAAAAUAUUAUUUAUAAAAUUUUACACAUUACUUUUGAAUGUUACAAAAACCAAGUAAAAGGUUAUGCCUUCUAAUAUUUAUGAUAAUAUAUUUAGAUUUUAUCAAGUUUAUUUAUUAUUUAUUUUUAAUUAAUACAAAAAAAUAACUAUAUAAUAAAAU
Molecule: long non-coding RNA, 1421 nt
Filed under: Daucus carota (carrot)
Lineage: Eukaryota; Viridiplantae; Streptophyta; Magnoliopsida; Apiales; Apiaceae
Description: long non-coding RNA (DCAR_LNC005663)
Source: RNAcentral